This 814-nucleotide ribosomal RNA is filed under the name uncultured bacterium. RNAcentral describes it as "bacterial SSU rRNA". It matches the Rfam family "Bacterial small subunit ribosomal RNA", at positions 64 to 891 of the family's 1533-position model. The record is from RNAcentral.
GAGCGGAGAUUAUGGAGCUUGCUUUAUAUAACUUAGCAGCGAACGGGUGAGUAACACGUAGAUAAUCUAUCCUAUACUGGGGGAUAGCCCGAUGAAAGUUGGAUUAAUACCGCAUAUAGCUAUAUAGUUGCAUGAUUAUGUAGUGAAAGAUUUAUUGGUAUAGGAGGAGUCUGCGGCACAUUAGCUAGUAGGUGAGGUAAAGGCUUACCUAGGCGACGAUGUGUAGCCGGUCUGAGAGGAUGAACGGCCACAAUGGAACUGAGACACGGUCCAUACUCCUACGGGAGGCAGCAGUGGGGAAUAUUGCACAAUGGGGGAAACCCUGAUGCAGCAACGCCGCGUGAGUGAAGAAGGUUUUCGGAUUGUAAAGCUCUGUUAGCAGGGAAGAGGAAGGACGGUACCUGCAGAGGAAGCCACGGCUAACUACGUGCCAGCAGCCGCGGUAAUACGUAGGUGGCAAGCGUUGUUCGGAAUUACUGGGCGUAAAGGAUGCGUAGGCGGUUAAACAAGUUAUAUGUUAAAUAUAUAGGCUUAACCUGUAGAAAGCAUAUAAAACUGUUUAACUAGAGUGCAGGAGAGGUAAGUGGAAUUCCUAGUGUAGCGGUGAAAUGCGUAGAGAUUAGGAAGAACACCAGUGGCGAAGGCGACUUACUGGACUGUAACUGACGCUGAGGCAUGAGAGCAUGGGGAGCAAACAGGAUUAGAUACCCUGGUAGUCCAUGCUGUAAACGAUGGGUACUAGGUGUGGGUUGUGAAUAACAAUUCGUGCCGUCGCAAACGCAAUAAGUACCCCGCCUGAGGAGUACGAUCGCAA